UAACACGUAGUCAACAUGCCCAGGGGACGUGGAUAACCUCGGGAAACUGAGGAUAAACCGAGAUAGGUCACUACUUCUGGAAUGGGUAAUGACCCAAACCUAUAUGGCCCCUGGAUUGGACUGCGGCCGAUCAGGCUGUUGGUGAGGUAAUGGCCCACCAAACCUGUAACCGGUACGGGCUCUGAGAGGAGGAGCCCGGAGAUGGGCACUGAGACAAGGGCCCAGGCCCUAUGGGGCGCAGCAGGCGCGAAACCUCUGCAAUAGGCGAAAGCUUGACAGGGUUACUCUGAGUGAUUUCCGUUAAGGAGAUCUUUUGGCACCUCUAAAAAUGGUGCAGAAUAAGGGGUGGGCAAGUCUGGUGUCAGCCGCCGCGGUAAUACCAGCACCCCC
Molecule: ribosomal RNA, 390 nt
Filed under: uncultured archaeon
Lineage: Archaea
Description: bacterial SSU rRNA
Rfam family: Archaeal small subunit ribosomal RNA
Source: RNAcentral